UCGUGCAUCUCUAACAAGCUUCAGGUGAUGCUAAUGCAGCUAGACCAGGCCAUUUUGAGUAGCAAAGAGGUAGGACGGUAGUUAUAUAUUGCUGUAGUGAGAAUCACCUGGGAAGUUUUAAAAAAUUCUGGUGUCCAGACUGCACCCCAUAAGAAGUAUCUCUGGGGAUGAGGCACAAACAUCUGUAUUUUUAAAAAUUCUCCAAGUGAUUCCAGUGUGCCCUCAAGUUUGUAAACUGAGAAUCUACACAGGUAAGUUUCAGGAAGUCUUUCUUUAAUUUGUAAAACAGAUAAAUACGAAGUGAAUUAAUGAGGUUAAAUAGGAAAGUAGAAGAUGUUAGGAAACCCAGAGUCCAUUUCUUAUCCCUGAAGGCCUCUGGAUCUCUUUAAAGUAUCUGGGGUGCCUUGGAUCACCAGAUCUAUAUUCACUGCUUUAUUUUAGAGAUGAAGAUACAGGCCUAAAAAGUGAAAGUGAUUUACCCACAAGCAGAGCUAAUUAGUGGCAGAGUUACAGCUCAGACCUUCUGUUCCUAAGUUUAAUGUUUCCCGCAACUUAUGUAUAAACAAGCUAUGAGGCAGAAACUCAUUUAAUACUUGGCCUGACCUAAUAAAUAUUGAUGAGCUUAAAUAAACUGUGUUUUGGAGACUCUUAGGUAGGAUUAGAAAAUUUUGGAGAGUGUGAGAUCUUUUCUAGUAUUAAGGGCUAUCUAGGUGUUAUGGGUUAGGUUAAUUUUUUUUCUUUUUAGUUUUUUUAUUGAGAAGAAAAUCCCAUUUUUGUUUUUAUUGUUUAGUGUGCUGAGAAUUGUAUUACAGAGUCACAGAAUUUCAUAUGAAGAAGGGACAGGAAGUCCUUGGCUCUAGCCUGUUCUUAUUGAUAAGAAAUGUGAUCUAAUGGCCAUUUGUGUGUGUGUGUGUGUGUGUGUAUGUGACAAAUGCUUUUUGAAACAGGCUUAAGUAUAUAGCAGGAAACAACAAUUAACUGGUUUGUAAUUCUAUUUGGAAUAAUGUUUUAGCCAUGUCACUGGUAUAUAUUUUGUCAUAUACACAAAAGGAGUCAGGUUAUACUAUAUUUUAAGUUACAGCACUUGUUUUCAUCUUAUUGAAAGAUUUCAUUUAUCCAAUGGAUUCCUGGCUUUUAGCAAAAAAUGGAAAUGAAGUAGGAUUUUGCCACAGUUUUAAAAAAUGGAAUGAAAGGGAAUUAAUCUUAAUUUCUGAGUGAAUUAUUUAGAGAGGCAGCAAAGCAUUGUGGUUGAGGCGCAGAUGCUGGAUUGAGAAUGCUUGAAUUUGAAUCCCAUUUUCACUUCAUAUUAGAUGAGUGGCCUUUGGACAAGUGUUGUAGUUGCCUCAUUUUUAAAAUAAGGAUAAUAGUACCUACAUGCCUCACAUGAGCAUUCAAUGAAUUAAUAUAUGGCACCUAGUGUUGUAGAGUUAGCUAAUAUUAUUAUCAAACUGCUAAACUAAUUAAAUGUAAAGCUCUCUCAUUUAUUUUUUGAUAUGUUUAGUUUUUUGGUAUGUUUUUCAUCAGAAUACCACUAUUUUCAUUUUAGUUGCUACUCUUUGAUUAUGACAAGGUGGAACUAGCCAAUAUGAACAGACUUUUCUUCCAGCCUCAUCAAGCGGGAUUAAGUAAAGUUCAAGCAGCAGAACAUACUCUGAGGAACAUUAAUCCUGAUGUUCUUUUUGAAGUACACAACUAUAAUAUAACCACAGUGGAAAACUUUCAACAUUUCAUGGAUAGAAUAAGUAAUGGUGGGUUAGAAGAAGGAAAACCUGUUGAUCUAGUUCUUAGCUGUGUGGACAAUUUUGAAGCUCGAAUGACAAUAAAUACAGCUUGUAAUGAACUUGGACAAACAUGGAUGGAAUCUGGGGUCAGUGAAAAUGCAGUUUCAGGGCAUAUACAGCUCAUAAUUCCUGGAGAAUCUGCUUGUUUUGCGGUAUGCAUUAUUCUUUUUGGAGUAUUCUUCACUGUUAGGUACCCGAGUUCUAGGGGCACUGAAAAUGUAUUACAAUUCAAAGAAAAAACAAACUUGGAUGGAAUACUAUUUGGAACAUCUCAUGCUUUUCCUCUUUUUUUUGAAAUGUGUUUUCUUUUAUUUUUCAUGUAGUGUGCUCCACCACUUGUAGUUGCUGCAAAUAUUGAUGAAAAGAGUCUGAAACGAGAAGGUGUUUGUGCAGCCAGUCUUCCUACCACUAUGGGUGUGGUUGCUGGGAUCUUAGUACAAAAUGUGUUAAAGUUUCUGUUAAAUUUUGGUACUGUUAGUUUUUACCUUGGAUACAAUGCAAUGCAGGAUUUUUUCCCUACUAUGUCCAUGAAGCCAAAUCCUCAGUGUGAUGACAGAAAUUGCAGGAAGCAGCAGGAAGAAUAUAAGAAAAAGGUAGCAGCACUGCCUAAACAAGAGGUUAUACAAGAAAAGGAAGAGAUAAUCCAUGAAGAUAAUGAAUGGGGUAUUGAGCUGGUAUCUGAGGUUUCAGAAGAGGAACUGAAAAAUUCUUCAGGUCCAGUUCCAGACUUACCUGAAGGAAUUACAGUGGCAUACACAAUUCCAAAAAAGCAAGAAGAUUCUGUCACUGAGGUAACAGUGGAAGAUUCUGGUGAAAGCUUGGAAGACCUCAUGGCCAAGAUGAAGAAUAUGUAGAUAAUGGACUGGGAUAUAUUUUAUUUCUCAUGUUAAAGCCUCUUCCCUUGAAAUUAAAAAAAAAAAAAAUUUAACUGAUAAAACUUAGGGCAACAUUAAUUAAUGUAUAUUCUUACCUGAAUUGUUAUACUUUUUGAAAAUCCUGUGACUUGCCUGUUUCUCCCCGCUCCAACGAAAUCAUUAAUUUUCCUAAAAUGUGUUUCAUUCUAGUAAGAAAACCUCAAAGGAUAUUGUAGAAUGUAAAUCUUACUUGAAAACAUAGCUGUUGAAAUGUUUUGGCCUUUUGGAGUGGGGGAAGGACAAAUCUGAUCCUGUAAUCUUUUUCUUUCCAGUAAUCACUUGUGUCUGUUGCAUGAGGACAUGGACAAUAAAGUAGUAUAUGAUCCUCAGAUACAGGGAGAAGGACAAGGCAUACAGCUUAUUGAUUAGAGCUGGCAAGCAUCUGCUCAUUAUGUUUGGAAUUGCUUUCUAUAAGAAAAUUGCCCACUAAUACUAACUUGAUCAACAAUGAAUUAAAAUAGUUAACCUAUGAAAUAACAUCCUCUUAAAUGUUUGCUGAUGAAAUACAAGUUGAAAUGUAGUUAUUGGAAAAGUCUGUAACCUGCGGAUUAUAUAUAUUCAAAGUGAGACAAAGGCAAAUAAAAAGCAGCUAUCUUCAUGAAUAGACAAAGUUGAUUUCAGGAAGUAUAAAUUAUAUUCUGCACUGACCAAUGAACAGAAAUUAUUGCAUCUGUGGAACAUAUAUCUGGAGUUACUAUACUUUACUGAAGAGCAAGGCAUAAAUUUAGACUAAAAUCCAUCCAGAUUACACUCAUUCUUUAGGCUACUCCUGGAUACUUCAUUUAAAUUUGAUUUUCGAGGUCGUGAGAUGUCGGCAAGGUUUGUCCUGUAUAUUAGGCAUAAAGGAAAAGUUCUAAACUGCCUCUGCAAUGACUUAUAGUCAGUGGAAGAGUAUCACUUUCCCCGAUCAUGACCACUAAACUGUAAAUUGAUAUAAAUCAGUUUUCUCUUGAGUUACACCCAAGUAAUGAAGACUUAAGAGAACCUUGGUUGAAAUAAAUUUCCAAUAAUUUGGAGACUCAUAAAUACCAUGCAGGUGUAACCACUGCCAGUAGGCUGUUUCUAUGCUUACUUCCUAUUUUGAUUUUUACUUUGAAGAUAGAUAGGAAUAUCUAAAUUAUAUCUCUAGGGAGAAAAUGUCGUAAGAAAUUAAAAGUACAUCCCUGAUUGUAAAAUAAAGUUAAAAAAACUGAUUUCAGAAA
Molecule: small RNA, 3897 nt
Filed under: Pongo abelii (Sumatran orangutan)
Lineage: Eukaryota; Metazoa; Chordata; Mammalia; Primates; Hominidae
Description: retained intron
Source: RNAcentral